This 1959-nucleotide long non-coding RNA is filed under the name Eucalyptus grandis. RNAcentral describes it as "long non-coding RNA (EGRA_LNC004365)". The record is from RNAcentral. Lineage: Eukaryota; Viridiplantae; Streptophyta; Magnoliopsida; Myrtales; Myrtaceae.
UCUCCUUUCCCUCACACCUCCACAACCGGAUAGCCUCUCUCUCUCCCCUUCUCAUUUCUUGGUGCGACACCUCCAUGAAUAGCUAAUGUUGAAGACGGCAGCUCCUUCCUUUGAAAAUUGAAGCCCACACGUUCCUCUUUCUUUACCGAUUCUGCCAGCCACACGCCAACCCCCACUCCCCGUUGGUCCCCUUCGGUCAGAGCCUUCCUCGAUGGCCUCGUUUGUUGACUGAGCAGCACCCCUGAAUCUCGAAGACUGAAGCUGCCCAUUUUCAGCGUCGCACGCCAGCAUCUCCAGCGAAGACCACUCAUCUUCGGUCUUCCUUCGUGCCUUCAAAUCAGUUCACCGAAGGCAGCAUCAACCGGUCAACUGACCGAAUACCACACGACCAGCUGCCCCGAUGAUUUCCACGAAGCCAGUGAUUGAUCACCCUUCGCAACUUCUCUCUCUAUCUCUUGCGGAUCGUCCCCAACAGCGUCCCAGUUCGGCCACGAAUCCGCACGCCCCUGCUCCACCGCUUCUUGCCGUUUGUUGACUGAAGACCUUCAACCCUCCACGCGUCCGAGUCUGUUCUUGGCUCGGUCAACAGCGGCAGCAACCGAAGCUGCUUGGUUGACCGCAAAAGCCCCACCCGUGCAUAGAUCCGUCGCCAGCAGCUGCUUCUCACGUUCCCUCUCUAGCGCCAUCACCGACGCUGCUUCAGUCUUCUUGUUCGGGGCCCAGCUCGUGCAAGCAGCUCCUUUGGGCCACUGAAACCAGCAGUCCAACGAAGCUUCUGCACAAGCCCCGCAAGUCAGCCCAGUCGAAUCUCACCAGUAGCAGCCCAUCAGCAGAAUUUUAUUGAGGCCCAUCUCCUGCAGUCUUCAAGCCCAGUCCAAUCCAAGUGAAUUAAUUGGUCAAGCCCAUUUCAGCAGGCCCAACCCAACUUGGGUCUGGCCCAAAAGCAAGAACAAAUCUCAGUUGGGCUGAGAUUUGUUGGGGCCAAGUCCAAGGCCCGGUCCAAGCCCACCGGUGUUGUCGAAAAUCUGAUUUCGGCUGCCGUCGUGUCGCCGUUGCGGUGAUUCGAUCUCCGCUUUUGUCAAGUGAGUUUUAGUCACUAAAGCUUUCUUAGUUUGCUAAUUAUACUUAAGGUUGGUUAGAUUUAAUUAAAUGCAAUUAGGUGGUUAGAUUAGUUUAGAUCAAUUAAAUUAGAGACUUAAUGAUGCAUGUUAGGUGGUUAGAAAUAGACAUUAGCAAGUAAACAUGCCAUGUUAUUUAUGGAGCGAGUCUCGGUAAUUUUUCGGGCUUGUCUCGGUAUCCAAUUCGGCAUUAUGAGCCUAAAUUGGAUUUUUAUAAUUAUUUAUUUAAUUUUCGAAAUUAAUUAUUUAAUUAUUUAUUUUUCCAGAAAUUCAACCGGGAUGGCCGGUGACCGGAAUUUCGUGCUGAUUGUCGUGGUGCAGUCCGUUUAUUUAUUUGAGCUUUAUUUGGUGCUAAAGUAAUUUAUGAGUGAAUUUAAGAUUUAUUCCUAAAUUGAAUCUGGAGAGGGUCGGGUGGGACCGUAAAGCCAUUAGUUCUUGAGAGGGUCGGGUGGGACCGUAAAGCCACUAGUUCUUGAAAGGGUCCGACUGACACGAAAUCGACUAGGUCGAUUCGAUCGAUGCUUCGAUCGGUGAUGUGAUUGUUUGAAUGCCUAUUGAACUGUACUAAUAUGCAGAUAGAAUCUGAGCCCAAGGUAAGUCAUCCAACUCGUGCCCUGUUUAGGCAGCCUAUAGUGUAUUGGCUUUCUAAUCGAGUCUUAGGGGGUAGGACUCGCUGAGACGUGGUCUCAUUGGUUAUUGAAUAACCAUUUCAGGACCCUGAGGAGAAGCUAAGGAAGAGGAACCUGAAGGGGAGAAAGACUUUUGAAGAAGAAGAUGAUCCAGAGAAGGAUCUUGAAUAUAACCCGGAUGUGGACUGAGAUCCCAUCCCUUUUGUAAACCC